AGAGUUUGAUCAUGGCUCAGAUUGAACGCUGGCGGCAGGCCUAACACAUGCAAGUCGAGCGGUAGAGAGAAGCUUGCUUCUCUUGAGAGCGGCGGACGGGUGAGUAAUGCCUAGGAAUCUGCCUGGUAGUGGGGGAUAACGCUCGGAAACGGACGCUAAUACCGCAUACGUCCUACGGGAGAAAGCAGGGGACCUUCGGGCCUUGCGCUAUCAGAUGAGCCUAGGUCGGAUUAGCUAGUUGGUGAGGUAAUGGCUCACCAAGGCGACGAUCCGUAACUGGUCUGAGAGGAUGAUCAGUCACACUGGAACUGAGACACGGUCCAGACUCCUACGGGACGCAGCAG
This 344-nucleotide ribosomal RNA is filed under the name uncultured bacterium. RNAcentral's name for it is "bacterial SSU rRNA". It matches the Rfam family "Bacterial small subunit ribosomal RNA", at positions 8 to 354 of the family's 1533-position model. The record is from RNAcentral.